This 93-nucleotide transfer RNA is filed under the name Poronia punctata. RNAcentral's name for it is "tRNA-Glu". It matches the Rfam family "tRNA". Rfam says of the family: Transfer RNA (tRNA) molecules are approximately 80 nucleotides in length. Their secondary structure includes four short double-helical elements and three loops (D, anti-codon, and T loops). Lineage: Eukaryota; Fungi; Ascomycota; Sordariomycetes; Xylariales; Xylariaceae. The record is from RNAcentral.
UCCGAAUUGGUGUAGUGGCUAACAUUUGACGCUCUCAUCGCAUGAAAACUCGCAUGAACCGUCAAGCCCGGGGUUCGAUUCCCCGAUUCGGAG